UACGGAGGGAGCUAGCGUUGUUCGGAAUUACUGGGCGUAAAGCGCGCGUAGGCGGCAUGGCAAGUCAGGGGUGAAAUCCCGGGGCUCACCCCCGGAACUGCCUCUGAAACUGCCAAGCUAGAAUCCUGGAGAGGCGAGUGGAAUUCCGAGUGUAGAGGUGAAAUUCGUAGAUAGUCGGAAGAACAACAGUGGCGAAGGCGACUCGCUGGACAGGUAUUGACGCUGAGGUGCGAAAGCGUGGGGAGCAAACAGG
This 253-nucleotide ribosomal RNA is filed under the name uncultured bacterium. RNAcentral's name for it is "partial 16S ribosomal RNA". It matches the Rfam family "Bacterial small subunit ribosomal RNA", at positions 524 to 776 of the family's 1533-position model. The record is from RNAcentral.